UGCCAAGGACAAGCUGGGAGGGUGUUUGCGAGGGAAGGGGGUAGAAGGAGCUCUUGAUGUGCUUUUUUUACUUCUUCAUCCCACAGAAUUGCCACGAGAGGAAAUACUUCAGAGGGGCUUCCCUCCAGAUAAGGCCUGAAGAUGCCAGGAGGUUUCAGCCGGGAGGAAAGGAGCUGUGGAAGAAAAGCAGCCUAAAAACAGCCAGUGGGGAUCAUCAGGUUUUCCAGCCAAGAAGAACAAGGAGAGAGAUGAGGGAAUCGGGUUCCAAUUCCUAAUGCUUUGGAAGUGGGCUGGGACAAGGGACUUGGCUCCCACGAGGCCGAGGAUCAGAGCGGGCUGUGCACAGGGGACGACUUCCACUUCCGAACGGGGAAGGGCCCCUUCGUGCCCACCCCUGGCAAACUGGGACAGAGUAACAUCUGCCUGCAGCUGGCUGGAGUUCCCGUUGGCUCUGGGCUUUCUGCCCACGGGCCAGGGAUCAUGGCCAGAGUCCUUCAAACCUGGGGCACAGUGGCCUUCACACCAUCCCUGCAGCCCGUCCAGGCCAGGCUGCUGCCCAUCGGCCCCUGAUCGCAGGUGGAUGUAGAAGUGAUGGUGUUUAGGGAAUGCUGAUUGUAUUUCCCUGACUUUAGCCAUGUGGUCAUUAAAAAGAGAAAAAUAACAAGU
Molecule: long non-coding RNA, 666 nt
Organism: Manacus vitellinus (golden-collared manakin)
Lineage: Eukaryota; Metazoa; Chordata; Aves; Passeriformes; Pipridae
Exons: 2
Source: RefSeq, a predicted model, not a curated record